AUAGAGACUCAGAGCUGCAUAUCAAUAAGCGGAGGAAAAGAAACUAACAAGGAUUCCCUUAGUAACGGCGAGUGAAGCGGGAAGAGCUCAGAUUUGAAAUCUUCAAGGUUCUACCUUGACGAAUUGUAGUUUAAAGAAGUGUUUUCUGUUAGAUGAGUAGCAAAAGUUCCUUGGAAUAGGGACAUCAUAGAGGGUGAGAAUCCCGUAUUUGACCGUUAUUAUUCUAGCUUUGUGAUACACUUUCAAAGAGUCGGAUUGUUUGGGAAUGCAGUCCAAAAUGGGUGGUAAAUUUCAUCUAAAGCUAAAUACUGGCGAGAGACCGAUAGCGAACAAGUACCGUGAGGGAAAGAUGAAAAGAACUUUGAAAAGAGAGUUAAACAGUACGUGAAAUUGUCAAAAGGGAAGCGUUUGACACCAGUGUUGUUUUUCCAAAAAUCAAUUACGAAUGGCUUGAUUUUGUGUUGUAUUGACCUUAUCAGCUUUCUGCACUUUUUUCGAGUCUUUCUUAAUGCACUUUUUGGUUAACAAGUCAACAUCAAUUUCUUUUGUUGUAAAAGAGUAUUCGGAAGGUGGCUUUCUUUUCGGAGAAAGUGUUUAUAGCCCUAUACUUCUACAAUCGGAGAGAUUGAGGUCUGCAGCGUAGAUCCUUCGGGGUUAGAUACACUUGUGCUAAGUUGUAGCUUUUCAUAGACAACUUGUUAGACUAUGUUUAGUCAUGCGGCUUACUCGCUUGUGCUAUUUUACCUACGCUUAGGAUGUUGACGAUCAGCUGAGCGCG
Molecule: ribosomal RNA, 778 nt
Filed under: uncultured Neocallimastigales
Lineage: Eukaryota; Fungi; Neocallimastigomycota; Neocallimastigomycetes; Neocallimastigales
Description: partial large subunit ribosomal RNA
Rfam family: Eukaryotic large subunit ribosomal RNA
Source: RNAcentral